CGGUCACCUCGGCUUCCCUGCGGCUUUCCGGGUCCGCACUUGACCUCGGGGUGAACCAAGCACACGCGCUGGGUCCCCGCCGGCAACAGAGGGUCCCUUCUCAGCAGCGCCUCCUCCUUCUCUUCCUCAUCUUCAGAUGCACGUUCACAUGAAGUGUGUCUUGGUGCUGAGGACGCUCUAUGAGGAACGGCAAUAAUCUGUGAAACUGAUCUUUUUUCCUGUAAAUUCAAGAGUUAGUUUAUCUCCCAGGUGGGCCUCCCAGGACAGCUUGAGGUCUUGAGACCCAGCUAGGGCUACGUGGAAAAGAAGACGCAGACACAGGAGCCGUGGGGGGUCAGCCCGUGCCCUACCUCCUGCUUCUGGCCCCGCGCACACACUGCCCUCACCGCACACUUGGGCUGGGCCUCCCUCCUGAUGGGGAGGUGAGCACCCGUGGGACUCAAGCAGCUGACCUGGCUCUGUGUAAGCGCGCCUCCCUUCCCUGAUGGCGGCUCCCAGGAUGCACAGUCUCACAUCCAGGCCCCCAGCAGAGUGACUGCCCGUGUCCGAGCCCUAGCACCUCUCUCCUCCGGCCUGAUGUGCAUUGUGGUCUUGGCCACUUGGCUUGAGCAGCGGGACUGAUAGAGCUGACCUCACUGUGGGGCCACCAGACCCCAAAGAUUUAAGGAUUCUGGGUCCCCCAGUGUCACCCAAGGGUGCCAUCAGGUGAUGGUCUUGUUCCUAACCCGUCUGCACCUGUGGCUCUCACCUGGUGACACUUGUCACUGCUGGGGACAUUACUGGUUGUCACACUGGGGAUGGGGUGCUCCUGGCAUGUGGUGGAUCGAGACCAGGGAUGCAGCUUGCAGUCCACCCAGCCUCAUGUCGGUCAUGAGAAACCCUGUCUAAUAUGGACGCUUUUUUAUUAUGAGUAAAAGUAGAUUUCUUCCAAGAUGUACGCUCCAUUGACAGGCUGUCUCAGACACAGAAGAAAGGCGGAGAGAUGCGGGGUUGGGUGCUUAAAGUCCAAGUAGACACACUCAGAGUGCGGGCCGUCCAGGGAGGCAGGGGAGCAAGAGGCCUGACGUGGAGACUUUCUAUCAAAAAUCUAUUAUCCGUGUAUCUGUCUAUCUGUUAUCUGUCAAUCAAUUAUCCACCAUCCGUCUAUCAGUUACGUAUCUGUCAAUCAUCUGCCCUGUCUAUAGAAAUGGUUCAUAACUGGGGCAGUUUUAACCCACAGGAGACACUUGGUGAUGUCAGGGGACAUGUCUGCUUGUCACAGCAGGGGAGGAGGAGCUGCUGGCAUCUGGUGAGUGCAGACCAGGGACUCUGCACCCGACACCACCCCCACAGAGAGUCGUCUAGCCCCAGCGGUCCCUGGUGCUGAGGGGAGAGCUGGGCCCUGGACUAAGGCAGGACUCGAACUUGGGACUCACUGGGCUGCCCCGUGUGUUGGGGGAAGAGGGGGGACCCAGGGCUGGUCCCUGUGUUGCGGGUGGAGGCGGGGCCUGGGGGCAAGUCCGCGUGCGGCCCUUGGGGGCAGAGCUGAUUCCUGGACCGGAGGCCUGUCACCGUUGGAUGUGGGAUGUCCUGUGACCCCAAAAAGGUGCAGUCUCCCUGCUGGGUCCGAGGUCACGUCGGGCCCUUCGGCCCCACGGCGACUAGAACAAGCCUGCCUGUAACAGCUGCUGGGCUUCCUCUGGAAGGGUGCUUUGUGGAUGACGUGGACGGGCCACCAGACCGCUGACUCCCUUCAGGUGCUCGGGGCUGCUGUGAUGUCUCCCUGGGCGCUGUCAUCUGCUAGGCCUAAGCGUGGACAGGCUGCUGGGCAGGGCUGGUGAUUUGGGUGAGUCUCCAUCCCUGAGGGGAGGCCCUGGUAACCUGCUGAGCUGAGUGGAGAUGCCUCAUCCCCACUGACCUCAAGGCAGGGCUGGCCGUUGGGGGCCACUGGUCACACAGGGUCCUGCCUUGGUCAGGGAUGGGGGCUGCUCCCCGGGCGGGUGGCCGUGUCCAGACCGUGCUGUCCUGGUGGGAUGUGAUCCAGGGGCACCUCCUGCCACCCUGGGAGCCCGCGGUGGCCCACAGCUCAGAAGAGGAGACUCAGUGGAGUGUCAGAGAGGCCACUGGGGCUGCGUUCUGGGGCCGGCCCUCCAUCCGUCUCCAUCAGGCUCUGUGUCCUCCUCCACCAGCGUCCAGCCCGUCCCCUCCAGGGCUCCAACUCUUCACGGAUCUCCAGCCUCCAUCUCUGAACAGGAACUGAUUCCCAAGACAGCACGUCUCUGACAUCCGCUUCUGUCUCUGAGGACUCUGAGCUCUUCCACGGAAGCCAUCAAUGUGGAAUCCGUCCCCGCCCAGGGGUGGUCCGGUGUGGUCCUGUGUGCUCCUGUGCGGCCCCUCAUCAUCCAGCUCUGCAGACAGAACCCAGCACCUCCUCUCUGCCCUGGCCCUGCUGUUGGAGCCUCUUGUGUCCCGUGCUGUGGGCCCAGCUGCUGGACAGAGAAACUGGUUCCCCAAGGCCUGCUCAGCGCCCAGAUGAUCGGACGGCCUGCCCAGGCCUGGGCAGGGGUGCUUGUCAGAUGCCUCCCCCGGACGUGCGGGGCCGCUCAUGCCUGUAAGUUUCACGUUGGUGCCAAACCAUGAGCCGUCCUGGACACGGGGGUGGCCUGAGCAGACCUUGGAGGGCGGACGCUGGGGUCUUUUCCACUGUCCGUAGGGGAGGGCCCCACCCUGUCGUGCACAGGCCAGCACUGACGCGGGAGAGAACGGCCACCGGGGUGGUGUCAGGAGCACUGUGGCUGGAGUGCAGGCCACAUGGCCAGACCGCCGGUCACACUGCUGGGGGCUCUCGGGUCCCAGGGCCUGUGACCCCCAGCCCGCUGGCCUCCCGACCCCGAGGGCCGUCCACACCCCUGCAGUCUCCCCCAGUAAUGCCCCCAUCCGUCCCCCCGUCCGUCUGUGAGCCGUGUCCAGAAACCCCGGUGCUAUGUCUGUCUCCAGCUGAGCCUGUGGCUGAAAAUCCUCAAAUUCUUUAUUUGAAAAUACAAACGUGAUCUCAUAAAACAUUUUUAAACUGCUCUGCACAGCAAAUAAAAGUUAACUUUACA
Molecule: RNA transcript, 3083 nt
Organism: Camelus dromedarius (Arabian camel)
Lineage: Eukaryota; Metazoa; Chordata; Mammalia; Artiodactyla; Camelidae
Exons: 5
Source: RefSeq, a predicted model, not a curated record